This 263-nucleotide ribosomal RNA is filed under the name uncultured bacterium. RNAcentral's name for it is "partial 16S ribosomal RNA". It matches the Rfam family "Bacterial small subunit ribosomal RNA", at positions 793 to 1055 of the family's 1533-position model. The record is from RNAcentral.
GUCCACGCCGUAACGGUGAGUGCUAGACGUCGCGGGUAUUGACCCCGCGGUGUCGAAGCUAACGCGUUAAGCACUCCGCCUGGGGAGUACGGCCGCAAGGCUAAACUCAAAGGAAUUGACGGGGCCCGCACAAGCGGUGGAGCAUGUGGUUCAAUUCGAAGCAACGCGAAGAACCUUACCUGGGCUUGACAUGUUUGAGAACCCUCUCGAAAGAGAGGGGUGCCCGCAAGGGAGCUCUUUCACAGGUGCUGCAUGGCUGUCGU